UACGUAGGGGGCUAGCGUUGUCCGGAAUCAUUGGGCGUAAAGCGCGUGUAGGCGGCUUUACAGGUCCGUUGUGAAAACUCGAGGCUCAACCUCGAGACGCCGGUGGAAACCGUAAAGCUAGAGUCCGGAAGAGGAGAGUGGAAUUCCUGGUGUAGCGGUGAAAUGCGCAGAUAUCAGGAAGAACACCCGUGGCGAAGGCGGCUCUCUGGGACGGUACUGACGCUGAGACGCGAAAGCGUGGGGAGCGAACAGG
This 253-nucleotide ribosomal RNA is filed under the name uncultured bacterium. RNAcentral describes it as "partial 16S ribosomal RNA". It matches the Rfam family "Bacterial small subunit ribosomal RNA", at positions 524 to 776 of the family's 1533-position model. The record is from RNAcentral.